This is a non-coding RNA of Microcebus murinus (gray mouse lemur), 886 nucleotides long. NCBI's taxonomy places the organism in Eukaryota, Metazoa, Chordata, Mammalia, Primates, Cheirogaleidae. The record is from RefSeq and is a predicted model, not a curated record.
GCUCUUUCUUUGACAUGUUUCUCAUAUGUGCUCUUACUUUAAUAUUUCUACUGCAAUCAAACGAGUUUAUCUUAUUUAGUUUCCUCAGACUUUAAUUAGUAAAAUACCUGAUCUCCCAGACACUAGUCUGUCCUAUCUCCUAUCCAAUUUUUUUUUGAUAGCCUAAAACAAAAACAUUCUUUAGAUCAUGACAGGACUAUGCUCAAAUUCUACUGGUUCUUGUUUAUCAGAAUGAAAUCUAAAUUCCUGGGUCUGACUCAACCAGCCUUCCCAUUCUUAUCUUCCCUGCAGUCUUCUGGCCACAUUAGGCUUAAUCUAGCCUCAUUUCCUCAUUCCUGCUGAGCUUUCUCCUAGGAGUAUCUCCUUCCUCCUGCCUACGCAUAUUCUCUGUAUUCUUACAUUCUUAGGGUUGCCACUAUUCCAGGAGGUCUUACCUCACCAUCCUGCUUCAAUUGUACGGCUCCUCUGUAUUUUCCAACACUUUUGGUCUUAAUUUCUGCCUGAUACUUAAGAGUGCCUAACUGAUUCCUGGCUAGCUGGGCUCUUCCAGUUUUAAUACUGAUAGUCCUUCCCUGGGAAGCUCCUCAGUCCUAUCAUUGUUUGGAGGACUUUUCUUCUCAACUAAAUUGGAAUCUCAGUAAAGGUACCUAAGCUAAUGAAUUUCAACUGGUUGCCGAGAUGAGCAAUGAGUGGGGACCUGGGAGAAAGAGGUCACGGACGGCAAGUAGGAGGCCCCCCCAUAAAUCACAAGAUGGAGCAUUUAUGAGCUGGCUGUAAAUUGUCAGCAUAAGGCUACAGAGUGAGCCUAGACUUUGAUCAUAAAUAAAGAAGAAAGCUAAAACAAUAUAAACCGGGGUGCCCAAAUUAAAUGGAAGAUACAACUGCA